RNAcentral lists this ribosomal RNA (253 nucleotides) under uncultured bacterium. RNAcentral describes it as "partial 16S ribosomal RNA". It matches the Rfam family "Bacterial small subunit ribosomal RNA", at positions 524 to 776 of the family's 1533-position model. The record is from RNAcentral.
UACAGAGGUCUCAAGCGUUGUUCGGAUUCAUUGGGCGUAAAGGGUGCGUAGGCGGCGCGGUAAGUCGGGUGUGAAAUCUCGGAGCUUAACUCCGAAACUGCAUUCGAUACUGCCGUGCUUGAGGACUGGAGAGGAGACUGGAAUUUACGGUGUAGCGGUGAAAUGCGUAGAUAUCGGAAGGAACGCCGGUGGCGAAAGCGGCGUGCUGGACCCCUCCUGACGCUGAGGCGCGAAAGCCAGGGGAGCGAACGGG